UACGUAGGGUGCGAGCGUUAAUCGGAAUUACUGGGCGUAAAGCGUGCGCAGGCGGUGAUGUAAGACCGAUGUGAAAUCCCCGGGCUUAACCUGGGAACUGCAUUGGUGACUGCAUCGCUCGAGUAUGGCAGAGGGGGGUAGAAUUCCACGUGUAGCAGUGAAAUGCGUAGAGAUGUGGAGGAAUACCGAUGGCGAAGGCAGCCCCCUGGGUCAAUACUGACGCUCAUGCACGAAAGCGUGGGGAGCAAACGGG
Molecule: ribosomal RNA, 253 nt
Filed under: uncultured bacterium
Lineage: Bacteria
Description: partial 16S ribosomal RNA
Rfam family: Bacterial small subunit ribosomal RNA
Source: RNAcentral